This 76-nucleotide transfer RNA is filed under the name Streptomyces albireticuli. Its description in RNAcentral is "tRNA-Arg". It matches the Rfam family "tRNA". From Rfam's summary of the family: Transfer RNA (tRNA) molecules are approximately 80 nucleotides in length. Their secondary structure includes four short double-helical elements and three loops (D, anti-codon, and T loops). Lineage: Bacteria; Bacillati; Actinomycetota; Actinomycetes; Kitasatosporales; Streptomycetaceae. The record is from RNAcentral. RNAcentral also lists the same sequence under 2 other names.
GCCUCCGUAGCUCAGGGGAUAGAGCACCGCUCUCCUAAAGCGGGUGUCGGCAGUUCGAAUCUGCCCGGGGGCACCG